This 365-nucleotide long non-coding RNA is filed under the name Helianthus annuus (common sunflower). RNAcentral's name for it is "hypothetical non coding rna". Lineage: Eukaryota; Viridiplantae; Streptophyta; Magnoliopsida; Asterales; Asteraceae. The record is from RNAcentral.
GUGGAUCGCCAGGAGCAAAAAGGAACCAAGGAGAAACCCUAGUUCCUAAAAUUCUCAAAAUCAGAAGGAGUUUAAGAGCCUAAACAAAUGCAUGAACCCAAAACUCGAGUUAUCUAAGCUUGUUCAACGAAUGGCACGAAGAAGGAAGAAGGUACGAGUCACUUGAAGUCGCAAGCUUCACAAGAUCACGGUAAGUUCUUAUGAACUUCGCUUAUGUAGAAAGUAGAAUUUUAUGUUAGUUCUCUUGUAAAUAAUUAUUUGAUGUUUUAUGUGAGAAUCAUUAGUAAAAAAUGUCUUAUUACGAAUUAAUAGUAGAAAAAGGAGAAAAAGUAUGUUGACGACCCGUGCAAAUGGGUCUAAAGUAU